CGAUAGCCUCCUGCAAAAGCUGGGGCAGGGAGUGUUCUCACUGGGGAGGCCUCCUUUGCUCACAGGAGGUGCAAAAACAGGCAGUAAGAAGACCUACUUCAAGUCCAGGCUCCACUAACAACCAGAUUCAAAAAGAGAAUUCAUCACUUUCAAACUACUGGUUCAGUAAGAUGUUUUAAUCCUAGCCUGUCCAUCAAAACAUAUAGUGAUUCUAAGAGCCAUCGUGAGCCAUUGAGCAGUACAGACUUUGGAGAAGGAUGUUUGCUGCUGCUGCUGUUAAGUCAUUUCAGUCGUGUCCGACUCUGUGCAACCCCAUAG
Long non-coding RNA from Bos taurus (domestic cattle), 318 nucleotides. NCBI's taxonomy places the organism in Eukaryota, Metazoa, Chordata, Mammalia, Artiodactyla, Bovidae. The record is from Ensembl.